This 2390-nucleotide long non-coding RNA is filed under the name Nicotiana tabacum (common tobacco). RNAcentral's name for it is "long non-coding RNA (NTAB_LNC000695)". Lineage: Eukaryota; Viridiplantae; Streptophyta; Magnoliopsida; Solanales; Solanaceae. The record is from RNAcentral.
CUCGAGUUACUUUUUAGAAUUGAAUUCAUAAUUAUGUUACGCGAACGUAUACAUAAUCACAGUAAUAGUCUAAGUCACGCCUAAAGCAAGCUACGAGUGUUCAUUAUUAGAAACCGUAAUCAUUUCACGCAAACGUGUAAAUAAUCAUGAUAAUAAAUUCAAAAUGCGCCUAAAGGUUCGCCUACCCAGGUAUGGUUGACCUAACAUGCUCCUAGCGGAUAAUAUAACAAAAUAAAUAAAUAAAUAAAUAAAUAAAAGGAAACUAGAUAAAAGGGGAAAUUCUAAAUCAUGCUCAUAUUCACUUGAAUUUUCAUUUUUAUGUAUUUGGCCAAGCUCGAUUCCUAGGACAUGUAAACAAUUUAAUUACUAAUAAGCUCGGCCUUUCCCCACUCGCACGGCCCGCAUUCAUCUUUCAAAGCCGAUAGAGUCAAGCAAUGGAGCAUACAAACAGAAGAACAUUCAGUAGAUAAGAACUAAGGAAGGCCUGAAAUAUAAUAAAGAAAAAGUAAGGCAAAGCCAUUAAGAGGAGCCAUUAAAAUAUUUCUAACCAACCCAAUUUUCCUAAUUUUUUGAUAUGUGAGAUCCUAAAGCCCAUAAAUUUAACCCUUAGAACCAACGUCAUACAAACCUUUCUUCACUUUUAUACUUACAAAUUAACCAACAGAGGCCAUACGGUAAUACAUUACCCAAUUAGCAUCUAAAUACGGUCAAAUAAAGCAAAUCAACAAUUGGGCAUUAGCAUUCAAAAUUGAAGGCAAAAGUACAGAUUCCCUACACGACCAUUUCAUCAGCUUUUGAAUAUUUUAACAAGAAAGAGCACAUGUUUAAUCAAAUUCGACCACCAGAAUAUUACUUUGGCGCAUGGGGUUCAAAGGAUCAGUAGGAAUUCUUUGGUCAGGCACAACGAAAAUAACUCUUAGAACAACCAAUGUGACAAGUUUAUAAUAUGAAUGACAUGCUGGACAACAUGACUAGCAGUGCUAUAUUAUGCUUUCAAAAUUUGAUCUAAUAACCAUUGAGACAAGCAAGGUCCUUAAACAAUCGGAAAAGUUAUCUUUCACUUUACGAUCUAAGCAAAUCGAAAGAUCUUCACUACUUGUUACCCAUUCAAAUCAGUUGACGGGAAGCAAACCAACAUGCAGAAAAUCUCAUUUCUGAAAAAAAAACAUGAAGUACCAAACUUUGUUCCGUCCUUAAGAUCGACUCGGAAUCAUAUUUAUCUCAAAUGACGAUUUUCAUAUAUGUAACUUCAUAAUAACUUUUCAAAUCACACGAAGCAUAAUCUUAACAUUAAAGAGUCAAGACAUGGAGAGAACUCAAACAACAAAACCAAGUUAGAUAAGGAAUCUACCACAAACAGAAGAAUCAAGUCAGAUAAGGAGCCUACCACGACGAACUUGAAUUAACCUUUCGAGCACUAUCAACAUUUACAAUAUUUCCAAACAGAAAACUCAUUCUACAUUAUUCAUAAGGAAAUCAGUAGGAAGGUAAUCUAAACCAGGGAAUCAAGCAUAUUUUAAUUUAUUCAAACUCUAACUAAGACACUCACCGAAAGGAAACUCAUGGGGUGACAAUAACCAUCAGCCAAAAUUAGAAAGAGAAAUCGAUUAAACCCCAAACUACAUCUGAUUAGCCUAUCUUAAAAUGGCUCCCCUUUAUGGCUUUGAUUCAUAAUAAAUAUAAAAAUAGAAGGAAGAAGUGAACCUGAAUGCAUCUUUAAUUAAUUCUGCUCGCAAUCAAAUAUGAGUAAAUCCGGCAGCGAAAAUCCACGACAAACACCAGCCAAGCAACAGGAACUAUCAAUCACGAACGGACCUCGAUCGGCGCCGCAGAACUCGAACUCCAAACGCAGCUUCAAUUAGAUUCUAUCCAUGGAACAUAAAUAAGGAACAAGGAGGUCUGUAUGAUUGGAGGUGGCGGAAUUAUAUAGAAAAUCUUUUGGGACAACAAUUUCCACUGUUGAAGUCGCUAGGGACAUCGAUUUAGCGUAUUAGAGUCAUGGACUAACGAGAAAAAUGGUAUCGAUUUGAAUGGGAAAAUGGGUUUAUUAGCUUGUUUGAUAAGAUGGGUUAUGGAAAUGGGAGGCAGAGGCGUGGGGAUUUUGCAGGGGUCCUCCUAGGGAGUGAUCGAUUUUGGGGAAUUGGGGGGUGUCCUUUGGUGUAAACGGCGGAUUCCAAAAGUCUAGGUCUCUAAGGUCUAUUUUAAUUUAGGAGUUAAGGAUUAUUUUAUAGGGUAGGAAUUAUGUUAGGUCAAAUGCGGAAUGGGUAUGAGCUCAAUGUUUUUGGCUUGGGUAAUUUGGAAUUUUUGGGCUUCAAGUUAAGCUGGCCCAGACGAAAUUGAAAGAUCAAAUUUACUUCUUUGCUUUGUUUUUCUUUCGAUUUCAAAAAUCC